RNAcentral lists this long non-coding RNA (849 nucleotides) under Panax ginseng (ginseng). RNAcentral describes it as "long non-coding RNA (PGIN_LNC008256)". The record is from RNAcentral. Lineage: Eukaryota; Viridiplantae; Streptophyta; Magnoliopsida; Apiales; Araliaceae.
UAGGUAGUAUGGGUUAUGUUGUGUUAUAUAAUGUGUGUGAUAAGUAAUGAACUAUUUUCAACUUUUAUGUUGGUCAAGAUUUUAAAUCCCGACUUUCGUAGUCACAAAGGGAUAGCUGAUGUUUAAAGCAAUAUGUGCUAUGGUAUGUUAAGUGCUAUGAAUAUGAGUCUAUGUUAGAUUAAUGAAGUAAGUUGUUAUAAAGAUAGUAGACAUUUAUCUGAAUAUUGGUUAAUAUAGUAAUCCAAGUUUCAAAAUUUAAUAUUUUGGAAUACAUGAUUAUUUGAGUAGAAAAUUUUGUGUUAUAUGUCGAACGUAUACGAUGAGGCUUAGAAUCUAAGGAAAUGAAGAAUAAUUUAUGAUUAUGUCACCGAGACGAAAACGAAAACCAGCCGCGGAAGAUCAACCAGAUAAUCGAACGUCGAACGCCAAAGACUUUAAGGCAAUCCUAUUGCUAGGGUAUAGAGGAUUAAGUGACUCAGUAGAAGCGUUUAUGAUAGUUAGGAUAACAAAAAGUGCAAAAGAUAACUUUUAUCACCUAUACGAUAAAAGGGAAAUGAGAUAAACAGAAAGUUUGUGGGCAAAAGGGACAUAUCUCUUCCAAUUAUCCCAAUUCAAGAAUGUAUAGCGAAUGUUUUAUUUGUGAAUCAAUGGAGUAUAAGGUGAAAGAUUAUUCAAGAAGGAGAAGUGAGAUAAGGAAUGCGAAUACGAGAAAUGACAGCAAGAUAUAGGCGACAACGAAACCAAUUUCAACAAACAACCCAACUGCGAGGGUCUAUAACAUGACGGUACAGGAUACGGUGGCAGCUGGAAACAGAACUCCAGGUGCUAUUUGAAUAACUUAUGUGUCUU